GCCAAAUCUAAUUAAAAGAAAACAGGAAAGUUCACACAAAGUGACCCAUACUUGCCAGUCACAUAUUUGGUUGGAUAGUCCUAAUUUUGUGCCCCUGUCUUGUCAGUCCAAUAUUGUUUCCAACACUGAGCUUUAUAUGGCUAUAUUUUUCCUCAUUUGGUUGUCCCGCUGGGCAGCCUGUCAGCCUAAUAAGAAUGUAUGAGAUGCCCAUUUACU
This is a non-coding RNA of Pelobates cultripes (western spadefoot toad), 216 nucleotides long. The record is from the annotation of a GenBank genome assembly. NCBI's taxonomy places the organism in Eukaryota, Metazoa, Chordata, Amphibia, Anura, Pelobatidae.